AUACAUCAUUGAUUGAAUGAACCU
This 24-nucleotide microRNA is filed under the name Medicago truncatula (barrel medic). RNAcentral's name for it is "mtr-miR2593d". The record is from miRBase by way of RNAcentral. Lineage: Eukaryota; Viridiplantae; Streptophyta; Magnoliopsida; Fabales; Fabaceae.